AAUAUUAAGAAAAAAACAAAAGUUUCAAACGUUUUUCGAUUAUAUUAUCCUGUAAAAAAGACAAAAGUUGUGGAUCUGAUCAAAAGUUUUAAAUUUAGUCUCUCUAAUGCUCACCUUGACGAAAAUCAUUUGUGGCUUUAGAGAUCUCACUAAUUAGUCAUAAUAAGUAACACACUGGAUUAGCGGUUGACGUUUUGGGUGUUUCAAUCCUCUUUUCUUCUCCAUUUCCAUAGAGGAGAGGGUGCAUGAUAAGAGAAGAUAUGAAUCUGUAGCGAGACAUCGGUGUCGUUGUUGUGAUUGGGCUCAGAUAGGUGUAAAACCAACAAUCGGCCUAUGUUUGGGUUUGUCUGAAGGCGAACGGAAGCUAGAAGAAGCCACUGAACCGUUGAAGAAGCAUCAUCGCCGGAGGAGCUAACUGAAUCUCUCGACAUACUUGGCAAUUUUGGACACCUGUCAACACCUGGAUUGUUCUGUGUUUUUUUUCUUCUUGGUUUUGUUUUGAAGCGGAAAUGUGAACUGGGCUUUAUAGUAUUUGUGCAUGAAGCCCGGAGUGAAGCCCAGUCUCCUUUACGCUGUCUUAACCCACAAGUGUUUAGGGUUUUCUCCCAUUUUCUUCUCGCGGCUCGAACUCACCGACGAAACCAAUGUUUGGCUCAGAUCGCCGUUCCGAUAUACAUAACGCCUCAGAUUUCCAUAUGGAGGCCACUACAAGCUCCUCCUUCGAACCGUCUUUGUCAUUUUUUUUUGGAAAAGCUCUCCGUCGUCUGUAUACUUCUCUGUUCCACUGAAAAAACUAGAACGAUAUGUAAAGUUUUAUUCACAAUUGAGAACUCUAUUAAAUUUCACCAUUAAGUCACUCCGUCUAGCCCACUACUCGAAUUUAAUUACUACUCUUCCCAUCUUCUUUGCAAAUCCCUAAUUUUCCAUACUAUAAAUAGUGGUGCAGCCAUCUCCAUAUCUCAUCGUUUCACCAGAUUCAUUUCGUCCUUAUAGUGUUGACGCGUCUCAUGCGUUUCUGGGAAGCAUGUUUUUGCUUGAUGAAAAGGUUUGCUUUCUUCGUGUGUUUCCCAAUUUUCAGUUAAAGCUUUUCCAAGGUUCCAUCUAUGUUCAUCGCCUUAAUACUUUCAAACAUCUCUGUUCAGUGGGUUUGAUGCUACGAGAAGCAACCACCACUUCAAGAAACAAAAUCACCUGUCACAAUAUGCUUCACUGACCUAACUAAGUUUGUUGAGAUUCCGGCAGGACCUGCUCCAGUACCCCUGGAGUUCUUUAGUUUUUGUCUUUAUGAGAAACUCAUGGAAUUGGCAAACAAAAAUACUCGAUUUUUAGGCAUCAUAGGGGAGGUGACUCAGGUGAGCAACGUCAAUAUAACUUUUAAUGAGGAAUCACAAACAACUCAACACAUAAUGGAGGCCAUCCAAAUUGACGGGUACUUGAGUGUUUCAGGACCACUAAAAUGUUAAUAUAUCCUCUUGGUUUGAUUGUAUACUACCAAACUUGAAAUAUGCAUCAUGACAUCUACAUACUUCAUUUUCUGUUAAUAUAUUUCCAACCUUCUAAAGUGCUCUACAAUAUCUACUACUGUCUGUCUAAGUGUCUUUGAUGUCCAGGCCAGCAAACUCCACCAGAACUUAGAUGGGGUUGGUGUGGAGCCUAAGUUCAUUAAUAUCAAAGAACAUUAAUCCAAAAUUUGUAGGAGGACGCUUAUAUUUGAAUGCAAUUUCAGGGACCAAUUUCCACUUCGACAAAGAACUUCGGUGAGGAUGGUGUCACCAGCUCUGCAAGUUAUACCAAAUAUGGAGAUGUUCAGAAAAUUGAAACUGUUACGGUGCUCAAGCUUAAUGCGUACGUGCUGAAAUCUCGCUGCAGGUUUCUGAGUUCCUUUGCACCAACAAAGUAGAGGCCACUGAAACCACCAAUGGAUGGUGCUACAUUUUCUGCUACAAAUGUUCAAGAAAGCUACAGCGAGGAUUCCCUUCAUUCACAUGCACCUAUUGUCAUAACUCUAGCACUAUUGGUGUUGUCAGGUAUUGCCCGGUAGAUUUAUCUCACUUCUCACUUUUUAAAAUAUUCACUAAACAAGCCAUCUAACACUCUCCCAUUGGCGUUUUAAAAUUUUGCAAACCGUGUGGAGAUUUGUGUCUCUGAUGCGAGAGAGUCAUCCAUGUUUGACUACAAAUUGGUAUUUCAAUAUUUACAUACACAAGCUACGUAAUGAUGUCUACAUUCUUUUCAUUAAAAUGCAGGCUGCAAGUGUUGCAGACCCUCUAGAGUCUGAGGUUUCACAAUUUCUCCAAGAAAUAGUUGUGAGACGUUUGAUUUUCAAUUGAAGCUUUUUGAGUUCAUUUUCAACUCCAAACAUCAAUCAUUCACUGUGUCCCACAUAUUUUAUUGUCAUCAGCGUCCCCUACUGAAACUUUUACUUAGGAAAGUUUUACGCCCUAUUUGGCGUGACUGGGAAAGAAAUUGGUGUGUUUUCAGUCGCUGGGAAGUGAGAAGGAAUAUGCAGGGACAGCACUAUCACCGGAUUCAUUUGAUUAUUUAGUCCCCGCGUCUUUUGUUUCAAACUCCAAAUGAAGAAAAUAUCAUUAACAUUUUCUGUC
Brassica oleracea var. oleracea is the source of this 2603-nucleotide long non-coding RNA. RefSeq lists it as uncharacterized. NCBI's taxonomy places the organism in Eukaryota, Viridiplantae, Streptophyta, Magnoliopsida, Brassicales, Brassicaceae. The transcript is spliced from 6 exons. The record is from RefSeq and is a predicted model, not a curated record.